Equus asinus (donkey) is the source of this 1609-nucleotide long non-coding RNA. NCBI's taxonomy places the organism in Eukaryota, Metazoa, Chordata, Mammalia, Perissodactyla, Equidae. The record is from Ensembl.
AGGCUUUCUCUCAGCCACAAUCUUAGCUUAGCUGUAAGGAAGACUGCAGUCACGUAGCACUUUGCUUCCAGGGAUCUCAAAGAACUUUAUGCAUCAUUUAUCGUGACCCUUGUUUUACAAAAGACCAGUUACCUGAGGUUUGGGCGGGGGUUAGGGGAUAGAUGUUUGAGGUAUAUUUACACCAUUAAUCGAGUGAGGGGGAAAAAAGACAAAACCUCUGGUUUAGCGGUUUCCUCCUCGAUCUGAAGCCCCUUCUCGCAGUCAUCUCAGCAAUGAAACUUCCUUUAUUUGUCCAGCACGAGAGGGCCAAAGAAACAGGUUUAUCCUCUCACCCAAAAGCCCUUUCUGAGACGGCUGGCCAGACACACACAGAGCACAGAGCCCUGCUUGGGAAGGAAGGUUCAGAGAACAAAUUGCCUUUUAAAACUGUUGGGCUGGACCUGCCUCUUCCAAAGCUAAAAAUGGUGAGUCAGGAUUUAGGCGUCCAUGCUCUGGGGAGAGAAGGCAGAUGUAAUUGGGGAAAGCUCUGGCUGGCAGGGUGUUGGGGUACAGGCGAGUUGGGGAGCUAGGUCUCCCAAGGGGGCCAGCAAUGCGCGUGCUAGUCGAUUGCGGGCUCCCGACGCGAGACACCCCAAAACCUGCUCCCCAGUGAGAACAAAGGCAGGCGCGGAGCGAGAACCUGAUUGGUGCCCGGUCCUCACCGGUGUCCUCCGGGCCCCGGAGAUAACUUGCUUCACCCACUGGCGCGGAGCUCCGUCUCACUGGAGCCCCAGCUCCCCACCCGGCCUUGGCUGUGACCACACAGGACUGUGCGUUAUGACAUCACCUGUUUUCGCUCUUUAGAACACGAUCAGUAUUCUCGGCUUCUCCUUUUUUAAAGGUCUCUAGUGCACAAGGAUUUGCGAAGGCCUGCCGUUCACAGAAUGAAUCUGUGGAGAUGAUUUAAAAGAACGGUUGCACUGGUUUGCAUUUCUGUCUUUUCUUUUUAAUUUAAAAGACUACCCUGGUUUCAUUAGGGAUUCAGUGUGGUGUUGUGAUGCAAAAUCAGAAAGAGACCAACACGCUUAAACGAAGUCUACACAAGGAACAAAGGAAAUGGAAAUCUGGCAGUGUCAGGUUUAAAUAGAUUAAAAUAGACUGGAAAACACUAAAAAGGUCUAAGUUAUGUGACUGGACUUCUUUUUUCUUUCUCUGGGGGCCACCCAAAGCCUUUGGAUUGCAGGUGCUUCAACAACAUCAUUCUACCCGGAUUCCAGAGUGAGAUCAGACUCAAGUCUGGCCACAUGGCACAAAUGGACAACCCAUACAUUUGGAGAGACUCCAAGAAAUCCAUCCGAAGCACUGAAUGGUCCUGGCCCUGUUCCAAAAUUUUACUAACCUUCCACAAAUUGGGAUUCCAGACACGUUCUUACCUUGGCCUCCAGGAUAAUGGAAGCCACAAAAGAGACAGAAAUUAAAAUGUCAGCCCAGCUGGGCCCCACAAUGUGGGCCAGCAAUUACAGUGGAACCCACUGCCUCUUAGAUCACCUUAGUGCAGAACAUCUGUGUUUCCUGCAACAAAGAUAAUAAAAUAAUCCAGAGCCCUGUCUUACAUGCUCCUUAACUCUGC